AGAGUUUGAUCCUGGCUCAGAUUGAACGCUGGCGGCAUGCCUUACACAUGCAAGUCGAACGGUAACAGGUUUAAGCUGACGAGUGGCGAACGGGUGAGUAAUAUAUCGGAACGUGCCCAGUAGUGGGGGAUAGCCCGGCGAAAGCCGGAUUAAUACCGCAUACGACCUACGGGUGAAAGCGGGGGAUCGCAAGACCUCGCGCUAUUGGAGCGGCCGAUAUCAGAUUAGCUAGUUGGUGGGGUAAAAGCCCACCAAGGCGACGAUCUGUAGCUGGUCUGAGAGGAUGACCAGCCACACUGGGACUGAGACACGGCCCAGACUCCUACGGGAGGCAGCAGUGGGGAAUUUUGGACAAUGGACGCAAGUCUGAUCCAGCCAUGCCGCGUGCGGGAAGAAGGCCUUCGGGUUGUAAACCGCUUUUGUCAGGGAAGAAAAGUCUUGGGUUAAUACCUCGGGACGAUGACGGUACCUGAAGAAUAAGCACCGGCUAACUACGUGCCAGCAGCCGCGGUAAU
Molecule: ribosomal RNA, 515 nt
Filed under: uncultured bacterium
Lineage: Bacteria
Description: bacterial SSU rRNA
Rfam family: Bacterial small subunit ribosomal RNA
Source: RNAcentral